AUGAGCUCUGUGCCUGAGGGAAUGCCCACCAGGAAGCACUUGAUUUGUGUCCCCACCCCAAGGAUGGGAGGCAGCCGCCCUCGGAGGAUGGUCACACAGCCAGGUGGAGUGCCUCAGGCCCCAGGGCCCACAGAAGACCAAGUCCCCUCAAGCUGUGGCUUAGAUUUCGUCAAGCGACAAGGACAGCCAGUGAACUGCACAGUAGAGGCAGGUGUGCCCAGGGGACAGACAUCCUGAUGGAGUCUUGACCAGGAGAGAUGACUCUGCCAUGGCCCUGCCGUGCCCACACCCUCCGAGGGUUUUGGAUGGUCUGGUUCCCACACAGUCGGCAGGGUGAAGAUGGAAGAUGGCCAACAACGAUGAUGUUCAAGUCUCCUUGGUCUGCUCUUGAAACCCCAUUCUUCCCUUGAGACCACCCAGACAUUGAGUUAGGUUCCCGGGAUGAAGGUGAAUACCUGUGUGUAUCUGGGGGUGGAGGAGGGGAAAUGGUCUGUGUUGCAAGUUGAAUAAUAUUUUAAGUUUUUCUGAACCAACUUCUUACUCAUAGAAAUGUUGUCAUAAUUCGUUUUCCUAAAAUGAGAAAUUUUGUGAUGCAAACUCAUCCUGUUUUUAAACGCUGGGGGCUUGAGAAGCAGGCCCACGGAGGGGCUGGGAAAACCUAGAGCGGUGGAUUCGGCUCCUGAGGUGGUCCUCCAGGUGUGGGCCAGACCCGCACGGACCCCCGCCCCCUCCGGUGGCUUCUGUGUGAAUCCUGCUCGCUGUGACAAGUCCUGCCACAUCCAGCGGAGGCCAGAGUCAGGCCACACCCCUGCGGGUGAAAGAGGGCCAGGACCUCCUGGAGGAAGUAGACAUGACAUGUGAUGGUCACAAGGGCCUCCAGACGCUUCCAAAUGGGGACACUAGUAUGUGAACCAGGGCAGCCGCUGUAAACCUGCUAGAAAGCCAGGCCUCUGGUCUCUUGGCCUCGCUCACCAAGGGUGUGCACAGGCGCCUGCAGCAACCCACCCCCACCCAGGCUCCUUGGUGCCCGAGGAGCGUCCAGUGUAGACCCUUCCACGCCAUCUCCCAGUGAAGUCACAAGUUCAGCCCCAGAGGAAACUGAUGAAGGGUAGAAACUGCUCAUCCUGCAAUCUUAAAAUUGCAGCUAUCCCCACUCCUCACACCCACCAGACCCUAGGAAUUAAUCUUUUUUUUUUUUUCCUUUUUAAUGCAGUAAUUAUUUUGUGACUGGCACAGUUAAAUGCAUUGUAUGUGUGCAGGCGUGACAAACUUGUUAAUUUGUUAAACUGUGAAAUGCUAAAAUAUGCCAAAUUUUUGUAAAUGUUUUGACAUUCCUCAUUUUUAAAAAAUAUAUCAGGUGAUUUAAUUAAAAAGAAAAGAAAGGAACCAGGCUUGGCCUUUUUGAACUUCAAAGAGAUCCUGUCUGGCCUCAGUGGCAACUCCCUUUGAGUGCUUGGGGCGAAGGGGUAAGCGCCCCUCACCCCCAUACCAGAGAAAGACGAAGGCCGUGGAGAGCUGGGCUCCCAGAUCCAGUCACUCCUGCCUCAUUCACUGAGAAAUUAUACACCAUAUAUUGGGUAUACAUACCCAGUUUACCCUGGGACGUUGUAAAUUUUGUCAAUAAAAACUUUUCAG
Molecule: long non-coding RNA, 1635 nt
Organism: Bos indicus x Bos taurus (hybrid cattle)
Lineage: Eukaryota; Metazoa; Chordata; Mammalia; Artiodactyla; Bovidae
Source: Ensembl